UGGGGAAUUUUGGACAAUGGGCGCAAGCCUGAUCCAGCCAUGCCGCGUGCGGGAAGAAGGCCUUCGGGUUGUAAACCGCUUUUGUCAGGGAAGAAAUCUUCUGAGUUAAUACCUCGGGAGGAUGACGGUACCUGAAGAAUAAGCACCGGCUAACUACGUGCCAGCAGCCGCGGUAAUACGUAGGGUGCAAGCGUUAAUCGGAAUUACUGGGCGUAAAGCGUGCGCAGGCGGUUUUGUAAGACAGAGGUGAAAUCCCCGGGCUCAACCUGGGAACUGCCUUUGUGACUGCAAGGCUUGAGUGCGGCAGAGGAGGAUGGAAAUUCCGCGUGUAGCAGUGAAAUGCGUAGAUAUGCGGAGGAACACCGAUGGCGAAGGCAAUCCCCUGGGCCUGCACUGACGCUCAUGCACGAAAGCGUGGGGAGCAAAACAGGAUUAGAUACCCUGGUAGUCCACGCCCUAAAACGAUGUCAACUGG
This 475-nucleotide ribosomal RNA is filed under the name uncultured bacterium. RNAcentral's name for it is "partial 16S ribosomal RNA". It matches the Rfam family "Bacterial small subunit ribosomal RNA", at positions 355 to 819 of the family's 1533-position model. The record is from RNAcentral.